RNAcentral lists this unclassified non-coding RNA (334 nucleotides) under soil metagenome. RNAcentral describes it as "partial contains 5.8S ribosomal RNA, internal transcribed spacer 2, and large subunit ribosomal RNA". The stretch from base 1 to 120 matches the Rfam family "5.8S ribosomal RNA", at positions 35 to 154 of the family's 154-position model. The record is from RNAcentral.
GAUGAAGAACGUAGCGAAAUGCGAUACGUAAUGUGAAUUGCAGAAUUCAGUGAAUCAUCGAAUCUUUGAACGCACAUUGCGCCUGCCAGCACUCUGGCAGGCAUGCCUGUUCGAGCGUCAUUUCAACCAUCAAGCCCUAGGCUUGCGUUGGAGCCCUGCGGCAGCCGCAGGCCCCUAAAAGCAGUGGCGGGCUCGCUAUCACACCGAGUGCGGUAGAUUACUCUUCGCUCAGGGCGUGUGGCGGGUUCCAGCCGUGAAACCCCCUACUUCUCAAGGUUGACCUCGGAUCAGGUAGGAAUACCCGCUGAACUUAAGCAUAUCAAUAAGCGGAGGA